AACAAUUUUAAAUAUGCCGAUAUUAAAUUUGAACAUAAGAUUAUCAAUUAAUAUUCUGUGGUUUUGUUUUCAUAUUUUACUCCCCUUUCCAAUCAGGGGAAUUACUAAGGUGCGGGCUAGUUCCAACCAAGGGCUGGCCCAUACCCGUGAAGGAGGGGAUCGCCGGGCCCAGCACUCCAAAAAACACUUAUCAGUAGUUACCAGACCCGGGGCGCGACCCGGUCCUCCUACAUGGCACGCCGAGAGCGUUACCACUCCGCUACCCGGCCGCUUUGUAUUCUAUAGUUAAUUAAUGCAGAUAAUUCUGUUUGAAUUUUCGUUAUUUCGUUCAGGAGUGUUUGAAAAAUGUAUAUAAUAUCCUAUACUACAAUAGUAGAUUUAAUAACAUGUAACUCUGAUCGACAGAUAAAUAGUAUCAAUCCCAUAUUGUUGUUUACACCGUCAAAAUCGAUCGCUGAUGACACUUAUAUUUCAACUGAUUGGACAUUUUUUUUUAUAUCCAACACGCUGUAAAUCUGAUCUUGAUUAAUCUAUAUGUAUAAAAUACAAUAUUUCUGUCUGUUCCCACACUAUUUGACUUAUCGAGACUUCAGUGAUUCCCAGUUAGAUUAGGUUAUUUGAAUUAAGGGCCAUAUUUAACAAAUGGUAUACAUUAACUGGCGGCAAUUAGUUUUAAAGCCCAUUACAGGCUGUCCAACACUUAUGGCGGUAUCUGGAAGGUUGAAGGAUGAGGCUAAACACAGAUUCCUCCCGAAAACUGGAGGAAAGGGACUCGAAUAUGAACCUGGAUACUCCAAGGUGAUAAAUGAAUGCGAAACGCUGACAUAGUCGACUGUAAUAUAAGGUGUCAAGGGACAAAAUCGUUUCAGGGUAGAGCGUUUUGAAGCCAUAAUUUAAAAUAGGUAUUUAAAUCUUUCAAACUGUUGUUGACAUAGCAAUGAGUGGUUCCAGAAUGACAUUAUAAUCUCACAGGCAUGUUUUUUUGAUCAAAAGUUAACGCCACUGUUGACCAAAAAAACACUAAGAUAAAACGCUUUGGAUUCAAUUUUUUUUUGUUAACAGAUGAC
Molecule: long non-coding RNA, 1067 nt
Filed under: Androctonus crassicauda
Lineage: Eukaryota; Metazoa; Arthropoda; Arachnida; Scorpiones; Buthidae
Source: RNAcentral